UACGUAGGGUGCGAGCGUUAAUCGGAAUUACUGGGCGUAAAGGGCGCGUAGGCGGCUUAACAAGUCACUUGUGAAAUCUCCGGGCUUAACUCGGAACGGCCAAGUGAAACUGUCAAGCUAGAGUGCAGAAGGGGCAAUCGGAAUUCUUGGUGUAGCGGUGAAAUGCGUAGAUAUCAAGAGGAACACCUGAGGUGAAGACGGGUUGCUGGGCUGACACUGACGCUGAGGCGCGAAAGCCAGGGGAGCAAACGGG
RNAcentral lists this ribosomal RNA (253 nucleotides) under uncultured bacterium. Its description in RNAcentral is "partial 16S ribosomal RNA". It matches the Rfam family "Bacterial small subunit ribosomal RNA", at positions 524 to 776 of the family's 1533-position model. The record is from RNAcentral.